AAUGAAGUGCCUGAAAAAAGGGUAAUUUUGAUAGAAUUAAUAAUGUGUAUAACACCUUCAUUAUUUCCCCCCAAAAAAAA
This 80-nucleotide transfer RNA is filed under the name Pyrrhalta aenescens. Its description in RNAcentral is "tRNA-Ile". The record is from RNAcentral. Lineage: Eukaryota; Metazoa; Arthropoda; Insecta; Coleoptera; Chrysomelidae.